AACGAGGCCGACCUGCGGCUGAGUUACCUGCGGAGGGAUCAUUAACCUUUCAAAUCAGGGUGCGGCGCGGCCCCCGAGGAGCGGAAACAAUCCUUGGGAGGUAUGCGGGGGCUUCGAGCCCCCCAUUUACGCACGCACGACUGCCAUCCUUACUUUACGAGCACCUUCUGUUCUCCCUCGGCGGGGCAACCUGCCGUUGGAACCGAAUAAACUCUUUUUGCAUCUAGCAUUGCCUGUUCC
This 240-nucleotide unclassified non-coding RNA is filed under the name soil metagenome. RNAcentral's name for it is "partial contains 5.8S ribosomal RNA, internal transcribed spacer 2, and large subunit ribosomal RNA". The record is from RNAcentral.